This 253-nucleotide ribosomal RNA is filed under the name uncultured bacterium. Its description in RNAcentral is "partial 16S ribosomal RNA". It matches the Rfam family "Bacterial small subunit ribosomal RNA", at positions 524 to 776 of the family's 1533-position model. The record is from RNAcentral.
UACGAAGGGGGCUAGCGUUGCUCGGAAUCACUGGGCGUAAAGGGUGCGUAGGCGGGUCUUUAAGUCAGAGGUGAAAUCCUGGAGCUCAACUCCAGAACUGCCUUUGAUACUGAGGAUCUUGAGUUCGGGAGAGGUGAGUGGAACUGCGAGUGUAGAGGUGAAAUUCGUAGAUAUUCGCAAGAACACCAGUGGCGAAGGCGGCUCACUGGCCCGAUACCGACGCUGAGGCACGAAAGCGUGGGGAGCAAACAGG